GAUGAUGAUUUUCCUUCAUAAUAAUAAAAUGAUAGCUGGAAAUGGAUUACAUUUUGAUUGUGCCAAUAACAAAUAAAGAUGAUUAUGUUGAUUGUUGAUAACUUCAACUAACAAUCUCGUCUCGAAUGACGUUAUGUUAUUUUUUGUUUUGUUUACUAACUGUACUUUCCGUUUACAACGAGUAGGUGUUGACCAUGAAACAGCAAAGACACACACAAAUUCCAAUUAUUCACCAAGUUAGAGGAUUGAGAAAAGUUUUUUUUUUCUCUCGAAAUUGUCUCAACAUUUACCUUAAUCACUGCCAUCAUUAUUUUUUCUCACUUUUCUUUUAUUCUCCUGAUUAAUUUGACCAUCAUUUUUCUCAUCAUAUUACUACAGGUAAUGUAUU
Panonychus citri (citrus red mite) is the source of this 388-nucleotide long non-coding RNA. RefSeq lists it as uncharacterized. The transcript is spliced from 3 exons. The record is from RefSeq and is a predicted model, not a curated record. Lineage: Eukaryota; Metazoa; Arthropoda; Arachnida; Trombidiformes; Tetranychidae.